UUCGUUUAUCUUGUUUCUUCUCUAUCAAAGCCAAAGAUCUCUGUAGCGGAACGGAAGAAAUCGACUUUGCUCCUGCACGGCCAGCGAGAGAAUGGGCGACAUCGAUGGUGGUGAGGUGGUUUGUGUAGUUUGUUUGAACCAUUGCACCUAUGAGAACGAGGGAAGCGGUUUCAACAUGUAUGCAUGGGAGGACUUCGGAAACGCAGGGGUAAACUCACCGGGUUGUGCCAUGUAAUGAAAGGGUCUGUUUCAACAUGACAUGAGAGAAGUGAUGUUUGUGGCAAACCAAUGGACGUACACUGUAAAGUGUUACAAGGGUCGCACAAAGAGCACAAUUUAUGGGAGAGGUUGGAGGAAGUUUUGUGCAGACAACAAGCUGGGGAAGGGCCCGAUGGUGGUGUUCUUCCUAGACGAGCCUUCCCCCAUGGGCAAUUGUUUGUGUGAUCCAAUUUGGCAAUGGCUCCGAAGAUGAAGAAUCUAUGGAAUAAGAUGAUGCCAUUGAAGAUUUAAAUGAAGAUGAUGAGGAUGUAGAAGCUUCCAGCGACGACAAUGAAGGCAUUGUUCACAAUAUGAGCACUAUGAGGCUCUAGCUGAAUGAGAUAGAGGAAUUUGAGCUACAAGGCAUGCUGCCCCUCAGCGAUGGUUUCAUUGGUUUGCCUUUCGUUCACCGCCUCAGGAGGACAGAUGUUCAAUUGGACAUGAUGCAGUGCACGGGCACUGACAUGGAUGACGAAGGAAGCGACCCUGAGAACGACAAAAAUGCAAAGGCAAGAGCACUGUGUUGAAAAUCCAGAGUGAGAAGAGGGAGGAUAUCAUGUACUCCCUCCGUUCUAAAAUAGAUGACCCAACUUUAGUAUAAAAUUAGUAUAAAGUGGGUCAUCUAUUUUGGAAUGGAGGGAGUAGAAAUCACUGACACGGAAGCAUUGAAGGGUUUUCUUUUUGAAGAAGUUGCUAAACGUUUGUAACCUUUUUCUAAAUAAUUCAUAUUUUCUCCAAAGUUUUUUUAGUAGUUGAUACAGGAAGUUAACUAACACAUGACCUUUAACUUGUUGUGUUGCCGUGUCUCCAUACUUCUUGCUGAA
This is a long non-coding RNA of Triticum dicoccoides, 1082 nucleotides long. RefSeq lists it as uncharacterized. The transcript has 4 exons. The record is from RefSeq and is a predicted model, not a curated record. Lineage: Eukaryota; Viridiplantae; Streptophyta; Magnoliopsida; Poales; Poaceae.